RNAcentral lists this ribosomal RNA (362 nucleotides) under Gammaproteobacteria bacterium. Its description in RNAcentral is "bacterial SSU rRNA". It matches the Rfam family "Bacterial small subunit ribosomal RNA", at positions 1 to 374 of the family's 1533-position model. Lineage: Bacteria; Pseudomonadati; Pseudomonadota; Gammaproteobacteria. The record is from RNAcentral.
GAUUAAACUGAAGAGUUUGAUCCUGGCUCAGAUUGAACGCUGGCUGCAUGCUUAACACAUGCAAGUCGAACGAGAAAGUACCUUCGGGUGCGAGUAUAGUGGCGGACGGGUGAGUAAUGCAUAGGAAUCUGCCCAGUAGUGGGGGACAACUCGGGGAAACUCGAGCUAAUACCGCAUAUUUCCUUCGGGAGAAAGACUUCGGUCGCUAUUGGAUGAGCCUAUGUCAGAUUAGCUUGUUGGUAGGGUAAUGGCCUACCAAGGCUACGAUCUGUAGCUGGUCUGAGAGGAUGAUCAGCCACACUGGGACUGAGACACGGCCCAGACUCCUACGGGAGGCAGCAGUGGGGAAUAUUGGACAAUGG